This 369-nucleotide ribosomal RNA is filed under the name uncultured organism. RNAcentral's name for it is "bacterial SSU rRNA". It matches the Rfam family "Bacterial small subunit ribosomal RNA", at positions 526 to 896 of the family's 1533-position model. The record is from RNAcentral.
CGGAGGAUCCAAGCGUUAUCCGGAUUCAUUGGGUUUAAAGGGUGCGUAGGCGGACUGAUAAGUCAGCGGUGAAAUCCCACGGCUCAACUGUGGAACUGCCGUUGAUACUGUUAGUCUUGAAUGCAGAUGAUGUGGGCGGAAUAUGACAUGUAGUGGUGAAAUACUUAGAUAUGUCAUAGAACACCGAUUGCGAAGGCAGCUCACAAAACUGUGAUUGACGCUGAUGCACGAAAGCGUGGGGAUCAAACAGGAUUAGAUACCCUGGUAGUCCACGCCCUAAACGAUGAUUACUCGAUGUUGGCGAUACACCGUCCAGCGUCCAAGCGAAAGCGUUAAGUAAUCCACCUGGGGAGUACGGCCGCAAGGCUG